GAAAGGAAUGCUAAUACCGCGUAAGACCACGCUCACUACGGUGAAAGUGGUUAAAGGUGCCUCAAAGCACCACCGGAGGAUGAGCCUGCGUCCCAUCAGCUUGUUGGUAAGGUAAUGGCUUACCAAGGCGAAGACGGGUAGCUGGUCUGAGAGGAUGAUCAGCCACACUGGCACUGGAACACGGGCCAGACUCCUACGGGAGGCAGCAGUGAGGAAUAUUGGGCAAUGGGCGAAAGCCUGACCCAGCCACGCCGCGUGUGUGAUGAAGGCCUUCGGGUCGUAAAGCACUGUGGAGAGGGACGAACAUGCGCAAGAGGAAAUGCUUGCGUACUGACGGUACCUCUUUAGCAAGCACCGGCUAACUCUGUGCCAGCAGCCGCGGUAAUACAGAGGGUGCGAACGUUGCUCGGAUUUACUGGGCGUAAAGCGCGUGUAGGCGGACUCGCAAGUCGGUUGUGAAAUCCCUGGGCUUAACCUAGGAACUGCAUCCGAAACUGCUUGUCUUGAGUAAUGGAGAGGGUGGCGGAAUUCCCGGUGUA
RNAcentral lists this ribosomal RNA (539 nucleotides) under uncultured bacterium. RNAcentral's name for it is "bacterial SSU rRNA". It matches the Rfam family "Bacterial small subunit ribosomal RNA", at positions 153 to 677 of the family's 1533-position model. The record is from RNAcentral.